UCCUCUUCAACUUCUUCACCGCCGUUCUCAGAUGCCUCCUCGAUCAUCAGAUCCUCUUUUUGUGUCUCUUCUUCCCCAAAUUCCUCUGGGACAGUCGGGCAAUCGUCCAUCGCCAGAUCGUUAACGUCCCCAGCGGGCAUCGACUUGCUCUCGUUGGAAUUUAAAGCAUCACCUUGGGCGAUGGAGUCGACGGCCUCCUGGAGCCGGAUGACGCGGCGGAUCACUUUCUUGCGAUACUCCCGGACGCCGCGGACGGCAUCGAGCCGCAGCAGCAGCGCCAUCAGCAUCUCACCGAUCCGCAGCCUUUCCUUGGCGUCUUCGCGGAUCUUAAUCGCCGAGAUCUGGUGCCCGAUCUCCGCCGCCUCUGCGGCGAUCUUCUUGAUGAUCUGCAUGUUCUUCCUCACCAGGAAGCCGCGGAGGAUCUUCUGGAUCGUGACGGCGGCCGACGACCUGUCGGGUUCUGGUAAUCGAUGCUUGUCGUCGGCGAAGUGGACGGGGAUAGAGAUGACCCUGGAUUUCGGUGCCGGUGAGGGCGGCGUCGGGCGCAGGAUGGGACGGGGAGAGUAGGCGCGGCGGGCAGGGAAGAAUAGGUUCUCCAUCUAGCUCUCGCUCUCAAUUUCG
Molecule: unclassified non-coding RNA, 621 nt
Filed under: Hevea brasiliensis (rubber tree)
Lineage: Eukaryota; Viridiplantae; Streptophyta; Magnoliopsida; Malpighiales; Euphorbiaceae
Source: RNAcentral